CGCCUCCCUCCGCCGCCACUCACGACUACCGUACGGGACGGCGAGCAGGUGGGAAGUCGUUGCGCAAUGGACCGAAGGCGUGACGCAGCGACGCCGCGUGGGGAGGAAGGCGUUCGGUUCGUAACCCUGUUCGCCCGGGACAAAGUGUGCACUUUGAGUGCAUUGACGGUACCGGGUGAGGAAGCACCGGCUAACUCCGUGCCAGCAGCCGCGGUAAUAC
This 220-nucleotide ribosomal RNA is filed under the name uncultured bacterium. RNAcentral's name for it is "partial 16S ribosomal RNA". It matches the Rfam family "Bacterial small subunit ribosomal RNA", at positions 335 to 526 of the family's 1533-position model. The record is from RNAcentral.